This 5086-nucleotide long non-coding RNA is filed under the name Coffea arabica (coffee). Its description in RNAcentral is "long non-coding RNA (CARA_LNC002835)". Lineage: Eukaryota; Viridiplantae; Streptophyta; Magnoliopsida; Gentianales; Rubiaceae. The record is from RNAcentral.
UUUUUUUUUUAUGUAAUAUAUAUGAGAUAAAAAGGUGAUUGAAUAAAAUAUUGAUAAUACAAACAAAUAAUCUACUAUACAAACAAAUUGUAUUUUCGCCCCAAGGGUAACAUGAACGGGUAGAGGUAAGAAAAAAAAAAAAAAGAAAAAUGGUUCGUGACGUGGCAAGGAGCCAAGGAUCUUUUAUAGCUCUGUGUCAUAAAUUAUACUGCUAAUGUCAACUUUCAUCCCCUUGUCGUACAAUAUUAUGGGUUUAAUUGAUAAAGCUUGCUUAAGCAAUAGGGUCCUAGAUUGAUUAAAUAACUUCUGGGGCUAUUUGUACAAUAUCUCGAGUUUUUCCCCAAUAAUUUGUUGAGCUUAAGUCACUAGUUAAUAUAUGUAUUCAGUCAAUGAUUAAAUGUACAAAAGCAUUCAAUGCCCAAAUAAGUUACGCGAUUACAAAUCAUCCAAGAGUACGUUAGUGGCUAAUUGACUAAAAAAAAUUACUAGUGAAUGGUCAUUCAAAUUUAACCGAUAAAAUAUCUCAGGUAUAUUUUUUCUACAUGGUUCCAAAUUUAGCUCUUUAUCUCUCUGUUCAUUUUUUUCUUUCUCCAUAAUUAACUUGUUUCUUCCUUAGAUACAUGAUCAAUUACAUUUUGCUUCCACAUUACUCCUAGUCCAAUAUGAAUAUUGUUGACCUUUUAUGCAUUAUUUUGGUUCCUAACAGUUAAUUAUCUUUGACUUCUUUGUUAUUCUACACUAGUUUUAAGUAGGGUGCAACACAAAAUUCGUAUAGUUUGAGGGGUGCAAAUUAUUAACUAUAACCAAUUUAAUACACAUCAAAAACUCUUUUAGGGUAUGAUGGAGAUUUUCAGAAUUUGAGGGCCCCUCCCAACAUACUUUCUACGGAACCAACUCAUCACGGCCGCUCCAAAGUGAGUGCUAUUGCUUACAAAAGCAAAGCCCAAUAGGAAAUGAAUUAGUCUUGCAAAACUGAGACCACUAGUCCAAUUCAACCUGGUGCCAUUUAUCCCACUUUUUGAGAAAGCAUAGGCCGUGCAAAAUUCGUGGAAGGGUCAGUGGCCUUUUCUACAGGUUGUUUUUGCAUCCAGAGGUUGUUCGUGAAACAUGAGGGCGAGUUUCUUUUAAAGUGGAAGGAUUUGAUACGAGACGUGCAAUCUUAAGUUCGAGUUUGACAAGCUUCCUUCAAUAAAACUACCCAAGAAAUUUUUCAAGGUUUUUAAUUAGCGUAGUUGUCAUAAUUUUCUUUAAUAUUUUUAUUUAUUUUUAGUGUUUUUCAGAUGUAUGUGUGUUAAAUUUAAACUACGGGCCUGUUUGGCAAAUAAGUUUGUCUGCUACAAAUUUUUUAACAAUUUUAACUAUAGUAAUCGCAAAAACUUUUCAAAAUUUUAAAAUUAUACACUUCAAAAUAUUUAAAAGCUUAUAUAUUUCAAAAAAAUUUUCUCCAACUUUUAUAGUAAAGUUUUAAACAAACAUUCAAAAAAUUCAUUUGCCAAAUGGGGACGUACAUUUGUCUAGAGGUUGGUGCUGUUAGAAAAAUUGCAAAAUUAUCACAACAAGAGGAACAUAGCUAGCUGUCGAGAAGGUCGACUAGCUUCUUAAGUUUGGAGCCUGGCUGAUUUAGUGUCGAAUCCUCUACGAGUUCAAACUCUCGUCGUACAUAACGACACUUUUGUUUAGCAAUUUUGUGUUCUUUAAGUAUUUUUCAUGCUUGUUCCCCAUAUUUUUUUUGGUAGCUUUCGUGUUUUGUUCUUUAAUCAUUUUUAGUAGUUUUGUGCCUGUAUACUUAGGGCUAUUGUAAUAGCUUGUUAUCAAUUUUUUUUUUUUGCAAGUAUUACACAACUUUGGUUGGUAUUUUAAUUGUUCUUGAGUGCACUGAAGUUUUUUUCUAAGAUUCUUUGUAUUUUGUUUAAACAAAAGUUUUCUCUAAGAUUCUUUGAAUUUUGUCUGUAAAAGAUGAUUGUGUAUCUCUUUCUUGGAAUUGUAUCUCUAUGAGAAAUUCCCCAUAAUUAUCACGAUAUUUGGUUUGUAAUGCUCCAUUUGCUUCUGGUGUUUCUCCUGGAUAGGUGGGAUAUAUGUAGUUUUUCGUUGUUCGAACAAGGGGGCUGCUUCUAAGAUGUUCAUGGCUAAAGCACACUGGACUAGUUUACUAAUAGAGAACUUUUCUCAAUGCGAGUUCCUUUUCUCAAGAAUUUUGGGAUAUUGUUAAGCCCUUUCACAAAUUACAUGGCAGUGCAAUAAUAACCGAAAGAGCAAAUUAUCUGGAAAGUCAUUAAACUUUUCCAAUAAUGGAGUUUUGACGACUCAACUUUUAAGAAUAUGUAUUGGCAUGUUACAAUUAAAUCUACCAAUCUAAGGGUCACACGAGUCACAAGACAACCAGAUCUGACAGGCUUAAUGGUUGAAAUAGAUGGAAUGAGGCAAAAUUUACACUUUUGAUAGUUUAAUAGGUAAAUAUAUACAUUUAAAAGUUAAGUGAGCAAAACUCCACUAUUUGAAAGGUUAAGUGGCUAGUCGGGUAAUUUGCUCUUACUAAAACAAGGAACUUUUGGACCAGAGAUGGUGAGCAGGAAUUUUUCUUGACAAAUUGUAACAUUGAUUUGAAUGGAAUGCCUCUAUCAAUUUAGUCAAAUAAGGGGCUUUACAUAAAUUAUUUGGCAGAAUUUAAAAGUACUUUUCAGACCUUAUUGCCUUAGUUUGUUAUGUCAAUCCUAUAGUUUGGCUGUCCAGCACGGGAGUGGGUUGAAAGAAAUAGAAUUUUACAGAAAAUUACCAUCUGCUGGUAACAGAUUUCAAACUUAAUUAAUUUGUCCAUGAUUUGUAGCCUUACUUCAUGUAUUUUUCUAACAAAAUAUUACAUGGAAAAUAUGUUUUUUUUUUAUGUAAUUACUAGUGGAUCAGUACAUACGUAUUUAUAACAAGUUUUCUAACCAUUCAAAUUGGAUGCUAUACGGAACCAUUUAUUUCCUUGCCUAAAAAAAAAGCAUUUUUUUUAAACAAAAAAAAAAGUGCUAUAAUAUGCCUCUCCUUAUCCACCAAUACAACUAAAGCAGUACAGUCAAAGGUCAUGCUGGAAAUGUUCAAGAAACUAAAAAUAUUAUGUGUAUAUUAUUGAUUACUUUUUGUUUUUAAUUUUUAUAUCAAAAAGGAAAAGAUUGUAGUCCGUCAAUUCCUUAGUAGAAUUUUUCUUUUUUUUUUUUUGGUCAAAGGGUAAUUAUUUACAACUACUCUUAUACUUGGAUGGAGGAGACAAAGGCUAGUGGUUGAAUUUUGUAUUACUUAUUUUACAAGUUAUGACGUAAUUACACAUCACAUCAUGGAUGACUUGAGAGCACUCAGACACAAUUGGUGCCACGUAAUUCUAGUACAUGGAGCAAAUCUCUAAUGCACGGCAUCUUUGCAUUUAGUCCAUGCUAAAGUAUAUCUAACAAAUUUUCUCGAAAUAUAUUUAAUGAGUGCUUGAGUUUUUUUUUUUUAAGGAGUAUUAAUAUCAUUUUCCUUUUUCUCUUGUCUUGUAGCGUUCAAGAGAAAAAAGCAAAAACCAAUGAUGUGUACAUCAAGUUAAAGUUUGAUCUAUAUUUUACAUGAAAUUUUGUGAAAAAAUGUACUUGGAUGCCUGUUUUUGCUUGGAACAUUCAAAUAAUACUUGAAAAUUACAUAAAAAUAUAAAAAUUAUCCACAUAUUAAUAUCUUUUUUCUCCUAUCAACCACCACCCUCCCCUUCUCUCACCACCCAUCUCCGUCCUCUCUAGACCAGAUCAGGAGGGAAGAGAGGAGGCGGGGGUGGACUUAGAGGGAUAUAGAUGUAAGCUUUAGUAGCAUCCGUAAAAAUAUUUUAAAUAAACUCUUAAACCACAACAUAAAGAUAUUAUCAGAAUGCAUUUGCAUUUUAAAUUUAUAAGUUUAAUGGUUAGAGAAGAGUUCUUAAAGCUUUCUCGCUGUCAGAAUUAGAAAUCGAAAUCGAAUUUCAUAUGCGACAACUGAGGGAAAAUAAAAAAGUUUCACAAGAACACCCAUAAAAAAAAAUCUACCCUUAACUAUAGAAAUAUUUUGCUUAAACAGACCUUGCCUUCUCGGAGGACUAUAGAAAUCAACCUUCAACCACCUCCCAUUCGACAAAAUCAUUGCACCAAGACAAAUCCCAAGAUCGCGGGACGAAAGAAGAAUGUGUGUUUCCCUUUUAUACUUCUGAUGAUGAUAUAACCACAAAGUCUAAGAUAUCAUCAGGACAUCAAAUCAACGUCUUCCACGUUAAUCUCAUCAAAAGCGGAAUUAACUGAAAAACUCUUACAUACGCAAAGUGAAUCAAAUGUCAAAAUGAAACCUGGUUAGUCCAGUUCACUACUUUUAGGGAGUAAUUUGACCAUAUUUACAUGAAUCACGCCAUUGUGGCACCGUAAUUCUUGAAUUUUAGCAUGCAUUAAGUUUGGCAAAAGUUCUAAACAAGUAAAUUUCCAGCAAAUGGUAGAUUUUACCGUUUGGCAGAUCCAAAUGAUGCUCUAAGCAUAAUGUUAUGGUCCAUAUGAGUGUAAAGCAAAAAGAAUGCAAUAGCUUAUAUUCUCUAUUAAAAAUGCCUGCCUUUAAAGGAAAAAAAAAACUUCAGAGCCUGAAAAGCUGUUUCGUUAUGCUACUUUACCAAUAAUAUUUUAUAUCAUGAUGAUUUCACCAAAUUGGGAUACCAGCACAUAAACAUUCAAGCACAAUUGUAAACACAUUUUUCAGUUUCACACAAUAGACAUACAACUGUGUUCAUGUGGGUAUUAAACACAAUUAUGUCUUCCUCAAUAUGUCACCAAAUGUAGAGCUAAAAUUUGUUACAUUCAGAGAAUAUUGAAAAAGUACUAUCAAUUGCCAAAUAGGACAAGCAGAAAGAAGUUAUAUAUAUGAAUUAAAUGCACUAUAAUACAGUCAUAUUUAGACUCUCACAAUCAUCUUUCACACUCUACUUGUCAUCACUCUUAACGGGGAUAGUAGAUUAAAGGGAAAAGGCAAAAGAUAAAGAACCUACAUAGUAGUACAAGUUAAAUAAUUGUAGACUAAUUAAUAAUAAUACUCAAGCUUGAUGCAGCAUUAAAUCCUAAUUAAG